RNAcentral lists this non-coding RNA (191 nucleotides) under Polaribacter sp. KT25b. Lineage: Bacteria; Pseudomonadati; Bacteroidota; Flavobacteriia; Flavobacteriales; Flavobacteriaceae. RNAcentral also lists the same sequence under 1 other name. The record is from RNAcentral.
ACAUUUACCGAAAAUUAAGGUUUUGUUCUUUUUGAGAACAAAUUAAAAGGGAAUUCGGAUAAAUACCGAAGCUGUUCCCGCAACUGUAAGCUAUUAGCUUGUAAUUAAUCUUUAUGUCACUGUCUUUAUUUAGAUGGGAAGGCCAAUUACAAGACGCAAGCCAGGAGACCUGCCUAGAUUUAAAACAUUAU